AGGGGCGGCACGUGGAGCCUCAUGCCCUCCCCCAGGGUCUGCAGGGACAUGAUAGCUGCUUCUGGGAAUGGUGCAGGGCUGGGGCAGGCAGGGAGCCUGCCUUAGCCCCGCUGUGCCACCGACCGGGAGCCAACCGAGGUGAUAAGGUCAGUUCCAGGGACAUAACUAUGAAGCAAUAAUGGAUUACAAUUAUAUGAAUUCUUGGAAGAGACUAAUAAUACUCCACAAUUUUUUAGAAUCUAUGGGACCAAAGUCUACAAAGCCCUAUAUUUUCUUGCUUGUGUCAUAUGCAGUGGAAAUGACAGGAUACAACAGUAAUGGGCAGUGAAUAUCAAAGGCCAGGGAAGGCUAAGUCUUCCCUGACCCAGGCUGUGGCUCCACCCGUGUCCUGCCCCAAGGCCCUCCCCUCCCUCCCUCUCUACUCUGAAGCCAGCAGGGGCUCACUCAGUUCCAAUCGCAGCCUGGAGCUCAGGCCCGUUGGUGGCCCAGGGCAGCACUGGGGCCAGCAGCUUGGCCCAGCCAGCGUUGUGCGGGCUGGUGGCUCAGCCCAUUGCUACGGGGGCCAGCCAGGAUGGUUGGGCUUUGGGUCCUCUGACCACUUGCUGGGGAGGGAGUGCUCGGGGCGCCAGUGGGUGGGGGUGGGGCCUCAGGUGGAAGAGGAAAGGCCAGCGGACUAGCAUCUCUGAAGAAGGGGGGGUGUCACCCACGGCCUAUGGCAACAGUAGCUCUAGCAAGGAAUGACAACAGUCAAGGAGAGGACCUCUUCUAACCAUGAAAAAAUAUCUACGGUGACAACUGACACAAGUGAGAAAAAAUAAAUGGACCUGGUGUGUCAGUAUCAAGUACUUGGACAGCGGCAUCCAUCAAGCUUAUGGGGACAUAAGAGAAUUCAGUCAGGACAAAAAGACUUUCUAUUUUCAUGCCAAAAAUAAACCUUGAGACCAAUCCUAUAGUCCUUCAUCCACAACAUUAGACCCUUUUACGACAGUCCAAAUCUGUCAUUUUGCAGUUUUCCUGAAAAUUUAAAAUUAAUUUGUCAAUAUACACCAGUGAUUCUCAAUCUGUAGAUCAUGGGCUGCAUGUGGUCCAAUUAGCACACAGCUGUGGCCCAGCUCAGCUGUGUGCUAAGGCCAGCCCAUGUGGCAGGGUCUGGGUUCCAGCCACCCAGUGCAGUGGGGUCCAGGCUGCCCCGCUGCCCAGCACGGCAGGGUUGGGGUCCAGUCAAGGAUGCCAGCCCAGCCCGCAGAGUCCAGGGUUUGUAGCUGCUGCCCAGCCCCACAACCUCCAGUGCUGUCACCUGGCCCUGCAAGCUCUGGGGCUGCCUCCCAGCCCCACACAGUGCGGGGUUCAGGGCAGCUGUACAGUGGGAAUCCAGGGUCCAGAAUCGAGGUCUGGGCUGCCACUGCCCUGUCACCUGGCUCCUGCAGCCCAGGUAACAUAUUGUGAGCCACAUAUGCGGCCUGCAAUGAUAAAUAAGUUGAGAACCACUGGUAUACAUCAUAGCUGCAAUUUACCAAUGCAUUUAUUCAACUUUUUAUAUUAUGUACUUUAAUUUUUUGAAUUAUAGUUCAGAAUAUUGUGUAAUUAAGGCCAAACAUAGCUUUACCAGGAUGCUUAUAAUUAUAAAAAAGUUCUAUAGUGGCAUCGAUGCAAUUCUGCAAUCACUAAUACAUGUGUGUAGCUUUAAGCACAAGUAGUCUUAUUGACUUGAAUGGGACUACUUAUAUAUUUAAAGUUAAUCAUGUGUAAAAGUCUGCUGGAAUGAGGCCUUAUGCAGUGCAAAACACAAUCAAAAUAAGGUUUAAAUUCUCAGAAGAUUAAGAGGAGUCUGCCUAUA
Molecule: non-coding RNA, 1837 nt
Organism: Chelonoidis abingdonii (Abingdon island giant tortoise)
Lineage: Eukaryota; Metazoa; Chordata; Testudines; Testudinidae
Source: RefSeq, a predicted model, not a curated record